GGACUCUGAAGCAAGUUAGGAUAGGUUUAAGUCCAACAGGAAGAGAGCGCAAACAUUCCAGGGUUCAUUCCUCCCAGGGGACUAUCCUGAGCACCCCUCCCAGCAGGCACUGCGGCCCUGACGGGCUGUCCCCGCUCCAGCCCACAGUCGUGAGGGAGGUGGACACAUGAACGGACCCUGGCCGGGGGAGGAAGAGGAGGCCGGCGGCUCAGCCAGGACUGGAAAGGCCUUCCGGAUGCCAGGGUUGAGAGCAGCCCACCUGACUCAGCCCGUGCCACCUGCCAAGAGUGUUGUGAUGAGGAGCGUAACCCAGCUCAGCCGGACACUGAACCAGUUGUUACAAAUGAAAGACCAGGAGGCUCCAUCUCCCGGGAAGAGGGAGGCCAGACCAAUUUACACGGGAACCUGGCUUGAGUCUGAGUUCUGGGGUCAGGACCCUUAUCCUGCCCCACCUGGAGGCUUGCAGGACUGGAAGUACUUGCGGUUUGGGGCCACAACCUGGGGUGCGUGGUUUGGGGGUGGCGUUAGGCUAGAGGGGGAGGCUGGUCUGGUAAACUCCGUCAGCAGAGUUUGGAUUUGGACCCGAGGGCGAUGGGAAACCAGAUCCGAGCCUUAAACUAGGGGGUGACAGAUCAGAGCUAGGGUUUUAGAAGUUCUUCCAGGGGCUGGCCCCGUGGCCGAGUGGUUAAGUUCGCGCGCUCCGCUGCAGGCGGCCCAGUGUUUCGUUGGUUCGAAUCCUGGGCGUGGACAUGGCACUGCUCAUCAAACCACGUUGCGGCGGCAGCCCACAUGCCACAACUAGAAGGACCCACACGAAGAAUAUACAACUAUGUACUGGGGGGCUUUGGGGAGAAAAAGGAAAAAUAAAAUCUUUAAAAAAAAAAAAGAAGUUCUUCCAACUGUGCUUUGGAGAAGUUUG
This 919-nucleotide long non-coding RNA is filed under the name Equus caballus (horse). RNAcentral describes it as "lncRNA (ENSECAG00000054380.1)". The record is from RNAcentral. Lineage: Eukaryota; Metazoa; Chordata; Mammalia; Perissodactyla; Equidae.